RNAcentral lists this ribosomal RNA (720 nucleotides) under Aldrichina grahami. RNAcentral's name for it is "eukaryotic LSU rRNA". It matches the Rfam family "Eukaryotic large subunit ribosomal RNA", at positions 64 to 660 of the family's 3401-position model. Lineage: Eukaryota; Metazoa; Arthropoda; Insecta; Diptera; Calliphoridae. The record is from RNAcentral.
ACUACAGGAUUUUCUUAGUAGCGGCGAGCGAAAAGAAAAUAGUUCAGCACUAAGUCACUUUGUCUUUAUGGCAAAUGUGAGAUGCAGUGUAUGGAAUGUCAAAUUUCUAGUAUGAGAAAUUAACGAUUUAAGUCCUUCUUAAAUGAGACCAUUUACCCAAAGAGGGUGCCAGGCCCGUAUAACGUUAAUGAUUACUAGAUGGCAUUUCCAAAGAGUCGUGUUGCUUGAUAGUGCAGCACUAAGUGGGUGGUAAACUCCAUCUAAAACUAAAUAUAACCAUGAGACCGAUAGUAAACAAGUACCGUGAGGGAAAGUUGAAAAGAACUCUGAAUAGAGAGUUAAAUAGUACGUGAAACUGCUUAGAGGUUAAGCCCGAUGAACCUGAAUAUCCGUUAUGGAAAAUUCAUCUUUAUGAUUUUAAUAUUUAUAAUAUUAUAAUAAUGGUGUGCAUUUUUUCUAUAAAGGACAUUGUAAUCUAUUAACAUAAAUAUAUUUAUCAUAAGAUCAUUUGCGUAAGUUUAUUCAAAUUAUUUUGCUUGCAUUUUAAUAUCGAAUAAAUGCUUUUGAUUUGAUAAAGUGUUGAUAGAUUUAUUAUAUAUAGUGCUUAAAUAUUUAUAUUUUAUAAUAGCAUAUUGAUCAUUGAUCUUUAUGUUUAUUAUAUGCACUUAUAUGAUUAACAAUGCGAAAGAUUCAGGAUACCUUCGGGACCCGUCUUGAAAC